This 290-nucleotide long non-coding RNA is filed under the name Lupinus angustifolius (narrow-leaved blue lupine). Its description in RNAcentral is "long non-coding RNA (LANG_LNC002767)". The record is from RNAcentral. Lineage: Eukaryota; Viridiplantae; Streptophyta; Magnoliopsida; Fabales; Fabaceae.
CACCACCUUCACUGCCAUUCACAGCAAAUUCAAUAGAAGGAACCAUCAUCAAAUUCAAAGCCAAGGAGGCCAUUCACAACAAAUUGUUUUCAAAAGAAAGAAAGAUAGAAAGAAAACGAUACAGCAAUAUCAGUCCAAAGAGAAGUCAAGGAAAGAAUCACAAAUACCAUCAAGAUCAACAACAAGAUCAUCAUCAACAACAACAACAACAACAACAUCAACAACAACAACAAGAUCAACAUCAAGAUCAACAAAUCAAACAAAAAACAACAACAACAACAAGAUCAACA